This 505-nucleotide ribosomal RNA is filed under the name uncultured bacterium. Its description in RNAcentral is "partial 16S ribosomal RNA". It matches the Rfam family "Bacterial small subunit ribosomal RNA", at positions 28 to 507 of the family's 1533-position model. The record is from RNAcentral.
GACGAACGCUGGCGGCGUGCCUAAUACAUGCAAGUAGAACGCACAGUUUAUACCGUAGCUUGCUACACCAUACACUGUGAGUUGCGAACGGGUGAGUAACGCGUAGGUAACCUGCCUGGUAGCGGGGGAUAACUAUUGGAAACGAUAGCUAAUACCGCAUAAUAUUGAUUAUUGCAUGAUAAUUGAUUGAAAGAUGCUAUUGCAUCACUACCAGAUGGACCUGCGUUGUAUUAGCUAGUAGGUGAGGUAACGGCUCACCUAGGCGACGAUACAUAGCCGACCUGAGAGGGUGAUCGGCCACACUGGGACUGAGACACGGCCCAGACUCCUACGGGAGGCAGCAGUAGGGAAUCUUCGGCAAUGGACGAAAGUCUGACCGAGCAACGCCGCGGGAGUGAAGAAGGUUUUCGGAUCGUAAAGCUCUGUUGUAAGAGAAGAACGGGUGUGAGAGUGGAAAGUUCACACUGUGACGGUAUCUUACCAGAAAGAGACGGCUAACUACGUG